Molecule: transfer RNA, 76 nt
Filed under: Clostridiales bacterium
Lineage: Bacteria; Bacillati; Bacillota; Clostridia; Eubacteriales
Also listed under: 1 other name
Description: tRNA-Ala
Rfam family: tRNA
About the family: Transfer RNA (tRNA) molecules are approximately 80 nucleotides in length.
Source: RNAcentral
GGGCUCGUAGCUCAGCUGGGAGAGCGCCGCGUUCGCAACGCGGAGGCCGAGGGUUCGAACCCCUUCGGGUCCACCA